Molecule: transfer RNA, 73 nt
Organism: Ovis aries (sheep)
Lineage: Eukaryota; Metazoa; Chordata; Mammalia; Artiodactyla; Bovidae
Rfam family: tRNA
About the family: Transfer RNA (tRNA) molecules are approximately 80 nucleotides in length. Their secondary structure includes four short double-helical elements and three loops (D, anti-codon, and T loops).
Source: Rfam
UCCCUGGUGGUCCAGUGGUUAAGACUUCGAGCUCCCAAUGCAGGGGGCCUGGGUUCAAUCCCUGGUCAGGGAA